UGGGAUCUAUGUUCAUUUCUGAUACUCGG
This 29-nucleotide non-coding RNA is filed under the name Mus musculus (house mouse). The record is from RNAcentral. Lineage: Eukaryota; Metazoa; Chordata; Mammalia; Rodentia; Muridae.